This 1404-nucleotide ribosomal RNA is filed under the name uncultured organism. Its description in RNAcentral is "16S ribosomal RNA". It matches the Rfam family "Bacterial small subunit ribosomal RNA", at positions 60 to 1429 of the family's 1533-position model. The record is from RNAcentral.
AGUCGAACGAGAAAUCUUUAGCUUGCUAGAGAAAGUAAAGUGGCGCACGGGUGAGUAACGCGUGGGUAAUCUGCCUCCGAAUCGGGGAUAACAUUGCGAAAGCGAUGCUAAUACCGGAUAAAAUCUGGUUGGCUUAGGUGAACCGGAUCAAAGGUGGUCUCUUUAUAAAAGCUACUGUUUGGAGAUGAGCUCGCGUACCAUUAGCUAGUUGGUGAGGUAAAGGCUCACCAAGGCGACGAUGGUUAGCUGGUCUGAGAGGAUGAUCAGCCACACCGGAACUGGAACACGGUCCGGACUCCUACGGGAGGCAGCAGUGAGGAAUUUUGCGCAAUGGGGGAAACCCUGACGCAGCAACGCCGCGUGAGUGAUGAAGGCUUUCGGGUCGUAAAGCUCUGUCAGGUGGGAAGAACCCACCAAGUGUUAAGACCACUUGGUGCUGACGGUACCACCGAAGGAAGCACCGGCUAACUCCGUGCCAGCAGCCGCGGUAAUACCGGGGGGUGCGAGCGUUAUUCGGAAUCAUUGGGCGUAAAGGGCGCGCAGGCGGUUUUGUAAGUCAGAUGUGAAAUCCCGGGGCUUAACCCCGGAAGUGCAUAUGAAACUAUGAGACUUGAGUAUGGGAGAGGGAAGCGGAAUUCCUGGUGUAGCGGUGAAAUGCGUAGAUAUCAGGAGGAACACCGGUGGCGAAGGCGGCUUCCUGGACCAAUACUGACGCUGAUGCGCGAAGGCUUGGGGACGAACAGGAUUAGUACCCUGGUAGUCACGCAGUAACGUUGAUCACUAGGUGUAUCGGGUAUUGACCCCUGCUGUGCCGGAGUUAACGCAUUAAGUGAUCCGCCUGGGGAGUACGAUCGCAAGAUGUUAAACUCAAAGGAAUUUGACGGGGGGCCCGCACAAUCGGUGGAGCAUGUGGUUUAAUUCGACGCAACGCGAAGAACCUUACCUGGACUUGACAUCUCGGGAAUUCCGUUGAAAGACGGGAGUGCCUUUAACCGAGGAAUCCGAUGACAGGUGCUGCAUGGCUGUCGUCAGCUCGUGUCGUGAGAUGUUGGGUUAAGUCCCGCAACGAGCGCAACCCCUAUCUUCAGUUACCAUCAGGUGAUGCUGGGGACUUUGGAGAUACUGCCCCGGUUAACGGGGACCAAGGUGGGGAUGACGUCAAGUCCUCAUGGCCUUUAUGUCCUGGGCUACACACGUGCUACAAUGGUAUGUACAAAGGGAAGCGAUCCCGCGAGGAGGAGCUAAUCCCAAAAAGCAUAUCAAAGUUCGGAUCGGAGUCUGCAACUCGACUCCGUGAAGUUGGAAUCGCUAGUAAUCGCGGAUCAGCACUCCUCCGGUGAAUACGUUCCCGGGCCUUGUACACACCGCCCGUCACACCAUGAGAGUUGGCUGUACCAGAAGUCG